CGGAGAGGGAGCCUGAGAAACGGCUACCACAUCUAAGGAAGGCAGCAGGCGCGAAAAUUACCCAAUACUAAUACAGUGAGGUAGUAACAAUAAAUAACACAGCCCAGCAUCUCAUGUUGGGCUUUUGGAAUGAGAACAAUUUAAAUCCAUUAUCGAGGAUCAAUUGGAGGGCAAGUCUGGUGCCAGCAGCCGCGGUAAUUCCAGCUCCAAUAGCGUAUAUUAAAGUUGCUGCAGUUAAAAAGCUCGUAGUUGGAUUUCUAGCGAGGCACGAGAAUAUCCACCUAUGGUGAAUACUUCUCUCGCCUUGCUCUUCUUUAGUUGAUGUCUCUGGCAUUAAGUUGUCGGAGUCCUGAGACUAAUCGUUUACUGUGAGAAAAUUAGAGUGUUCAAAGCAGGCUUAUGCCGUUGAAUAUAUUAGCAUGGAAUAAUAAGAUAGGACUUCGGUACUAUUUUGUUGGUUUGCGUACUGAUGUAAUGAUAAAUAGGGACUGGCGUGGGUAUUCGUAUUUUAAUGUCAGAGGUGAAAUUCUUAGAUUAUUGAAAGACGGACGACUGCGAAAGCAUCUACCAAGUAUGUUUUCAUUAAUCAAGAACGAAAGUAUGGGGAUCGAAGAUGA
Molecule: ribosomal RNA, 617 nt
Filed under: uncultured eukaryote
Lineage: Eukaryota
Description: SSU rRNA
Rfam family: Eukaryotic small subunit ribosomal RNA
Source: RNAcentral